GUAGUCUGCAACUCGACUACAUGAAGCUGGAAUCGCUAGUAAUCGCAGAUCAGAAUGCUGCGGUGAAUACGUUCCCGGGUCUUGUACACACCGCCCGUCACACCAUGGGAGUUGGGAAUGCCCGAAGUCAGUGACCCAACCGUAAGGAGGGAGCUGCCGAAGGCAGAUUCGAUAACUGGGGUGAAGUCGUAACAAGGUAAC
Molecule: ribosomal RNA, 201 nt
Filed under: uncultured bacterium
Lineage: Bacteria
Description: partial 16S ribosomal RNA
Rfam family: Bacterial small subunit ribosomal RNA
Source: RNAcentral